UACGUAGGGUGCAAGCGUUAAUCGGAAUUACUGGGCGUAAAGCGUGCGCAGGCGGUCCGCUAAGACAGAUGUGAAAUCCCCGGGCUUAACCUGGGAACUGCAUUUGUGACUGGCGGGCUAGAGUAUGGCAGAGGGGGGUAGAAUUCCACGUGUAGCAGUGAAAUGCGUAGAGAUGUGGAGGAAUACCGAUGGCGAAGGCAGCCCCCUGGGCCAAUACUGACGCUCAUGCACGAAAGCGUGGGGAGCGAACAGG
This 253-nucleotide ribosomal RNA is filed under the name uncultured bacterium. RNAcentral's name for it is "partial 16S ribosomal RNA". It matches the Rfam family "Bacterial small subunit ribosomal RNA", at positions 524 to 776 of the family's 1533-position model. The record is from RNAcentral.